RNAcentral lists this ribosomal RNA (253 nucleotides) under uncultured bacterium. Its description in RNAcentral is "partial 16S ribosomal RNA". It matches the Rfam family "Bacterial small subunit ribosomal RNA", at positions 524 to 776 of the family's 1533-position model. The record is from RNAcentral.
UACAGAGGGGGCAAGCGUUGUUCGGAAUUACUGGGCGUAAAGGGCGCGUAGGCGGCCGCCUAAGUCAGACGUGAAAUCCCUCGGCUCAACCGGGGAACUGCGUCUGAUACUGGGUGGCUUGAAUCCGGGAGAGGGAUGCGGAAUUCCAGGUGUAGCGGUGAAAUGCGUAGAUAUCUGGAGGAACACCGGUGGCGAAGGCGGCCUGCUGGGCAGUAGCUGACGCUGAGGCGCGACAGCGUGGGGAGCAAACAGG